RNAcentral lists this ribosomal RNA (229 nucleotides) under uncultured bacterium. Its description in RNAcentral is "partial 16S ribosomal RNA". It matches the Rfam family "Bacterial small subunit ribosomal RNA", at positions 104 to 334 of the family's 1533-position model. The record is from RNAcentral.
CGGGGUGAGUAAUGCUUGGGAAUCUAGCUUAUGGAGGGGGAUAACUACGGGAAACUGUAGCUAAUACCGCGUAGAAUCGAGAGAUGAAAGUGUGGGACCUUCGGGCCACAUGCCAUAGGAUGAGCCCAAGUGGGAUUAGGUAGUUGGUGAGGUAAAGGCUCACCAAGCCGACGAUCUCUAGCUGGUCUGAGAGGAUGACCAGCCACACUGGGACUGAGACACGGCCCAA